Long non-coding RNA from Pongo pygmaeus (Bornean orangutan), 1035 nucleotides. RefSeq lists it as uncharacterized. The transcript has 4 exons. NCBI's taxonomy places the organism in Eukaryota, Metazoa, Chordata, Mammalia, Primates, Hominidae. The record is from RefSeq and is a predicted model, not a curated record.
GACCAGUCCCAGCUCUUUUGCCAGGGCACACGUUUCCAAGGGCAUGGGCCAGCCACUGGACAGGCCCUCUUCGGGUGAGCGAUGGCAAAAUAUAGGGUCCCUCCUAAGAACAGUCAUUAGGAGAGCAGCAGCUGUGAGGGCUGAUUAGCCUAGAAGGGAACAUUGGAUUUGGCAGCCAAUCCUCUAGCACGACAGAAUUAACACAAAAUAAGCUGGGUUCCAAUUACUCCUUAAAACUCCUGGAUUUCACCUCCAAUUUAGUGGCACACAGCAGGCAUCCGAUAACAGAUGCUGGCCAUAGGUGCCUAAGGGAGCCGGACCAGGACAUGUACAGCAGGAUGAGGAAGAGGAGCACCACGAAGGCAGCCAGGCUCACCCAGAAUGCGAUCACGAUGGAAUCUGUGGGAGGAGGAGAUGCAUCUCAGCGCUGGGUUGAUGUCGACAUAAAGCAACACUGAGGGGCAGUAAGGAGUCCCAGGAGAAGCAGAGGAACAGACUGUCUCAUUGAACCAGCGUGACAGCGGAGGUCAAUAUGGACUAUGACCAGUUCUUCUUAACCCAUAACUAAAAGGAAGGAGAUAUAUUGACCUGAGAGGCUCCAAAGAACUGGCCAGCUGAGAGAAAGCUGAAUUCAUCAGCAAGGAAGUCCACAAAGGCAGUCACCUGCUUUCUGCGAUGUGACCUCUGUCCACCCUCACCUGACUCAUGCUCAUUUCACCCCACCCCUGAAGCCAUGGAACAGCAUCCCUGAGACUGCCUGACAGAUUUUUGCUUUUGCCUGUUUUAGAUUUUUUUUUUUCAGUAAACUCAUCUGAAUUCAAAUACUGAGAACAAAAGUACACAGAACAGCUUCACUUAACACACAACAGUGGAAGAAGUUUUACUCUCCCCAAGGCCAUUGUUUACCAUAACAAAAUCCUGGAAACAUUCUGUAUGUUCAGAGUAAAUUUCUAUAACACCGUACAAAGUUUCUGUGAAAGAAUAGUUAAUGACAUGAGAAAACAAAAUAUUAUGAGGUCAAUAUGAACAGAGUAC